AUUUUAUUAAUAUAAUCAAAGUAUAUUUAAUUUCCAAUUAAAAAGUUUAAAUAAUAAAUAAAAUA
This 65-nucleotide transfer RNA is filed under the name Nurudea shiraii. Its description in RNAcentral is "tRNA-Gly". The record is from RNAcentral. RNAcentral also lists the same sequence under 1 other name. Lineage: Eukaryota; Metazoa; Arthropoda; Insecta; Hemiptera; Aphididae.